CUCAGCUGCUUUUCCUUCAGCCUGAGGGCUGGCUCUGGAAGGCAUCAUGAGCCCGAACCCCAUUCAAAAGAGGGGAGUAUUUACAGCAAAUUUUUCCCUGUCCUGUGGCCUAGCCUCUAGGCAGUAGGACUCUGGAGAAGAAAUUUGUUAGGCUCCUUGCUCCUCUUGCCACACUCAGAGUGGCCAGAUUCCAUUAUUUCGCAGCACAGGGGAAAAAACAGAAAUUCCAACUCAAGGUGACUUAAACCAGAAGGAAAUUACUGUCUCAAAUAACAGGUGGUCCAGAAUUCUGGGUGUUCUCUAGGAAGGUCCUGGAGCUCAACUAUGUCAUCAGGGAUGAGAUUCUUUCCCUCUGCUUUGUAUAGCACCAGCCUCAAACCAAAACUGGUUCCCUUCAAAGUUGUAAGGGAGCUGAAAUUGAGUCAUAGUUCAGUGAUCUGCAGCUCAGCCAACAUAUUUCCCCAAAAUCACGCUUGUACUUUUCCACUUAAAUGAGACGCAAGCCCAGUUCCUCAAGGAUUCCAGGGAGCCCAGAAGAGUGAAGUCAUCUCCCGUCUUGGGAUACAGCAGGCACAUCAUAGCUCUAGUUUCAUUCCCAGGAUCUGGGAAUUCAGAAGGACCUUAACCAUCCCAUCUGACUCUCCUUGGGCAAGAGAAAAAGCUUAAUACCCUCACUGUCCAUCCAUGUUGUCACAAAAGGCCGGAUAUCAUCAUUUCUUAUGGCCUGAAAUUUGCACUCGAUACCUGGAGGCACAGCAGCCAUCUUGUGACUAUGAAGUCCUCAAUUGAAAAAGAAACUAUCAUCAAAGGAUGGUGCCAACCUAGUGGGAGGCCUCUGAGGGUCUGAGUCACAGAAUCCAGUCCUCUCUCCUCAACCUAGCUCUGUGCAAGUUAUCAGUGACUCUGACAGGCAUGAGACAUGACUUCAUGUUUGAAAUAAAGAGAAAUGGAUGAUAGACGUUGAGAUGGAGGAUCUGUGCUGAGGCCUGAGGAUUUCCAGCAUCUGUUUAGCCUGGCUUUGAGGAGUUAAGAGGCCUUGUUUGGGAAGCCCUGUGGCAAGGCACUGUGGGCAGCCUCUAGGAGCUGAUGACAUCCAGGAGCUGAUGACAUCCUUGGUUGACAGCCAGCAAGAAGCCCUCAGUCCCACAAAAGAAAGGACCUGAAUUCUGCCAACAACCUAAGGAGUGCUGAUGAAGCCAUGCCAAGUGAAAAGCACAGGCAGCUGACCCAAGACUUGAUCAACACAGCAGCCAUUCGGUUUGAUUCAGUGAGCAUUUUUCCUGUCUGUCCUGUGAAAGACAUUGCCCCAGGUACUGUAAGUUUGAUGAUCUAAGAUUUAAGUCCACAGCACUUCCAUUACUGAGAAAUAGAAAGAAGGAGACACAGGGAGUGCUUGGAGCAGACGUCUCUCAUAAUUCCAGGACGUGAUAGCCCAGAAGAAGAAAGAGAUGAAAGGUGAAGUAAAAGGGAGGGAGGAAGGCAAGGAGGACAGGGACAAAGACACAAGGAGCUAAAGGGAAGAACAAAUGAGGGCUUUCACUCUUCACUGUCAAUGGCAAAAUACCUCCUCAUCUGAAUGGUUCCUGUGCUUUACCAGUGGAGGCUUUCCCUCCUCUCAUCCUUGAGUCUUCAUUCAGGCUUUUUGCAGGCAUCACUUCUCCCUCUUCCUCCAGCUGCCCCAGGCUGAUCUGAGUUCCCCUCCUGCGUAUUCUGCAUUCUGUCGUGCUGUGUUCCGCCUGCUAGGCUGGAUCUGUGAAUUCCUGCCACAUGGCGGGAGCCCCAUCCCUGUUUGCUGAAAUGGACUGCUAAAAGGUUCUGCAUCUCUCACAGAUCCAGGGUGUAAACUGAAGAGUAUAUACCUCCUGGGGAUGACUUUGCAGCAACCAAUUUCUAUGCAACUGACACAAGCAAACUUGUUGAAAUACAUCUUGGCAAUGUCUUUGUCGUUGCUCAAAAUAGCUACAAGAGAAUGUUAAAAGCCUUCUUUUUCUAGCUGUGUUGUGAAGUGGUUUAGUCAGAGCAGAACUGAAACACACAUCCCAAAGACAGUUGUAGAGAGCACCACAGUGCCUUAUGAAAG
RNAcentral lists this long non-coding RNA (2080 nucleotides) under Equus caballus (horse). RNAcentral describes it as "lncRNA (ENSECAG00000044005.1)". The record is from RNAcentral. Lineage: Eukaryota; Metazoa; Chordata; Mammalia; Perissodactyla; Equidae.